UAAAGAAGCGCCCGUCAACUAAGCCAAAAAUGACUGCUCGGUAAAACACCGCAAAAAUUCUCCCACGUGAGGAGAGCGGAAUUACGGGCAAGCCAUUCUUGGCUAGUAAACGAGGGCUCUUUCUU
RNAcentral lists this microRNA precursor (125 nucleotides) under Erythranthe guttata (spotted monkey flower). The record is from RNAcentral. Lineage: Eukaryota; Viridiplantae; Streptophyta; Magnoliopsida; Lamiales; Phrymaceae.